UGCGUUUUCAGUCAUCGAUUCAUAAGUCUGGAAACGCAUGUUAUAUCAGACGAACAAAGGCAGGCCGGAAAUAGAUUUUCUCGGUUUCUUUCCUCAGCAUCCUAUUCCAUAUGAACCAAAAAGACCGACCUUUUUGAAUUCUGAAAGGAAUUCCACCUUUUCAUUUCAGACAAAUUGGAAGCUUUAUAUCAGAUGGUUCUAUUUCUGGGCACAAUUUGCCCUUCUCCUUCUCUAUCCUGUUUUGCCCUUUACAGACGCCAAAUCUUGCGCAAAAGUUCUGCCAUUUCGGUUCCCAGAAAUGGGUUCUCUCCCUUCAGACGAAUCUUUCAGGCUUCGCUUCAAUCUAAUUCUACAAAUGAGGAUGCUGGAUUGCAGUUACCUGCCGACCUAUCAGAAAUCAUAUUUAUGGGGACAGGAACUAGUGAAGGGGUUCCACGUGUGAGCUGCCUGACAAAUCCUUUAAAGACAUGUCCGGUUUGCUCAAAAGCUGUGGAACCAGGUAAUAAAAAUAGAAGACUCAACACAAGCAUCCUUAUUCGUUAUCCUAGGGCCUCUGGAAGAUGUAACAUUCUCAUAGAUGCUGGAAAGUUCUUCUAUCACAGUGCCCUCCGAUGGUUUCCUACCUUUGGGAUAAGAACACUUGACGCUGUUAUUAUUACUCAUUCUCAUGCUGAUGCAAUUGGAGGCCUUGAUGAUCUUCGUGACUGGACAAACAAUGUCCAGCCCUACAUUCCAAUUUAUGUGGCCCAGCGCGAUUUUGAGGUGAUGAAGAAGACACAUUAUUACUUAGUGGAUACAAGUGCCGUUUUACCCGGUGCUGCAGUCUCAGAAUUGCAAUUCAAUAUCAUACAUGAGGAGCCAUUUGUUGUCCAUGAUCUAAAGUUUACCCCUUUACCAGUAUGGCAUGGUCGUGAUUAUCGUUCCCUUGGGUUUCGUUUCGGUAACAUUUGUUACAUUAGUGAUGUUAGCGGGAUACCUGAAGAAACUUAUCCACUUCUGAAGGGCUGUGAAGUCCUGAUUCUGGAUGCUUUAAGGCCAGAUCGGUCUUCUUCAACACAUUUCGGACUUCCAAGGGCUUUGGAGGAGGUACGGAAAAUCCAACCAAAGAGAACACUUUUCACUGGCAGGUUAAGAAGUGGCAAAAUAUUCAUCGUUACUUGCAACUUGUGGAAGAUGCGCUCUGAUUUUUAGGAUAAACGAAAGAAGUAAUGCCAUGGACAGGCAUGUUGAUUUCGUUUUUAUCUAUUAUGUGAUCAACUCGGGGCACCCAGAGUAUGCUUGACGUAUGCCCCCAGUUUGGUUAAGGUGUCAAAAGGAAUAUGGCCGCCUGAUCCGACAAGGAACUUCUUGUCAAACUGGGAGAAAUGGAGAGAGGAGAGGAGAGGGUCAAUUCGCUCGCCUUGCAUGAGUCUGUCAAAUUGUGUCCAAUCAUGAAUGGCCACGAGGAAUUGUCGGGUCAAGGACGUGUCUUCGAGUUGUCCUUUUCACGGAUGGUGUUGUUGGAAGGCAGCGGGUGGAAUGCUGUAAGCCUGUACAGUAACACACACCCCCACACCACCUAGCAUUAUAAACGACUUGGAGAAGAGGAUAUUUAGGAUGCUCCUCCUCUUCAUUCUUCCACAUAGACUCUUCGCAGUAGAGCCGUUCACCCGCACAUGAUUAUGAAGGCUUGCUUAGCUUGCUCAAGAAUUCCACGAGCAGCAACGUCGACGACUGUUGCUAGGAAAGAACUGGCACCUAAAUCCCAGAUCAACUACUACUACAAGACAACCGUGCAGUGCAACUAGCUAGGGCUUCGUAGAAUAAUAGGGUUUGCCUAAUUACUUUCAUACAGGAGCACUUUGUCUAUUCUGGCAUAAAGUCACGAACUUUGCUUGGGGAUAAUUAGCCGCCCCAUGAGGCUGGCAUAGUCAAGAUCAGUCGGCCGUGGCGGCCUAACCCUAGACCUAACUAGUUGCAGACUUGCAGCCACGUACGGCUACCAUAUAUCAGGUCCAUGGUCAAGGUUUUUAUUAAUCUGGCGUUGAUUUUUAAGUCAUGGCAGAGAUAAGAAAAAGGAAAGAUCAGGAUCACAAAGAGUUGCUGGAUUAAAUUAUAAAUGCUUAAAUGAGCAGUACAACUGUAACGAUGUUACUUUUCAGAUCAGUAAGCUUCUAAGAAGCUUGAUAGGGAGAGAUGCUGUUAGCAGAGAAAACAAAAAUCUGAGGAGUUUUGAGAGCUCAGACUUAAUCUGUAUAAAUUGAGUGAACUUGAAGGGCAACAUAUAUGAUAAAAUAAUACUUACAUACAUAUAUAUAUGUGCGCGCGUGUGCAUGCAUGCUGCGCAACGAAA
This is an RNA transcript of Carya illinoinensis, 2332 nucleotides long. It is a transcript of the gene named putative hydrolase C777.06c, with no coding region annotated. The transcript is spliced from 15 exons. The record is from RefSeq and is a predicted model, not a curated record. NCBI's taxonomy places the organism in Eukaryota, Viridiplantae, Streptophyta, Magnoliopsida, Fagales, Juglandaceae.